UACAGAAGCCAGCUCUUUGCAACUCUUACAUGGUCGCCCAGUGAAGCUGCGCCUGGUCAGUACCUGGAUGGGGGACCACAUCGGAAAGCUGGGUUGCUUCUGGAA
Molecule: ribosomal RNA, 105 nt
Filed under: Danio rerio (zebrafish)
Lineage: Eukaryota; Metazoa; Chordata; Actinopteri; Cypriniformes; Danionidae
Source: RNAcentral